This 577-nucleotide ribosomal RNA is filed under the name uncultured Planctomycetota bacterium. Its description in RNAcentral is "bacterial SSU rRNA". It matches the Rfam family "Bacterial small subunit ribosomal RNA", at positions 153 to 729 of the family's 1533-position model. Lineage: Bacteria; Pseudomonadati; Planctomycetota. The record is from RNAcentral.
GAAAGGACUGCUAAUACCCGAUGGUUCUGUUGGCUUACGGGCCCUCGGAUAAAUGGUGAUUCCGCUCGUGGAGGGGUCCAUGUCCUAUCAGCUUGUUGGUGAGGUAACGGCUCACCAAGGCUAUGACGGGUAGCCGGACUGAGAGGUUGGCCGGUCACACUGGGACUGAGACACUGCCCAGACUCCUACGGGAGGCUGCAGUCGAGAAUCUUCCGCAAUGGGCGAAAGCCUGACGGAGCGACGCCGCGUGCAGGAAGAAGGCCCUCGGGUUGUAAACUGCUGUCACACGUUAAGAACCGUUACGGUCUACCGUAACCUGACAAAAGCGUGAGAGGAAGUCACGGCUAACUUCGUGCCAGCAGCCGCGGUAAAACGAAGGUGGCUAGCGUUGUUCAGAAUUACUGGGCAUAAAGCGCACGUAGGUGGUUGCGUAUGUCGAUGGUGAAAUCCUAUGGCUCAACCGUAGAACUGCCAUCGAAACUACGUAGCUAGAGGACAGGAGGGGAGAGUGGAAUUCCUAGUGUAGCGGUGAAAUGCAUAGAUAUUAGGAGGAACGCCGGUGGCGAAAGCGACUCUC